UUAAUUUGACUCAACGCGGGGUAAUUUACCAGGUAUAACAUGGUAUAAUAUUUUAUCAUGAUAGUGGUGCAUGGCCGUUUCCAAUGGAUGCUGUGAAGUAAUGAUUAAUUUCAACAAGAUGUGAGACCCUCGUUUAGACAGAUGUAGUGAUACAUAUGAAGGAGAGGAUUAAAACAGGUCCGUUAUGCCCUAAGAUAAUCUGGGUUGCACGCGCAAUACAAUAAUAUUUGGUAUUAUAAGGGAUAAUAUAAUGUAAGAUAUAUUUGAACAUGGAAUUGCUAGUAAAUUUUAUUUA
This 295-nucleotide ribosomal RNA is filed under the name Nosema bombycis. RNAcentral's name for it is "partial small subunit ribosomal RNA". It matches the Rfam family "Microsporidia small subunit ribosomal RNA", at positions 824 to 1153 of the family's 1311-position model. Lineage: Eukaryota; Fungi; Microsporidia; Nosematidae. The record is from RNAcentral.